UGCGGAGAGGCACGGUGACCAUGCGAGCCUCAUAAGCUCGACCUCUCGAGUUCGACUCUCGGCUCCGCAACCA
Molecule: transfer RNA, 73 nt
Filed under: Ruminococcaceae bacterium YAD3003
Lineage: Bacteria; Bacillati; Bacillota; Clostridia; Eubacteriales; Oscillospiraceae
Description: tRNA_Pseudo_CAT
Source: RNAcentral